This 300-nucleotide non-coding RNA is filed under the name Loxodonta africana (African savanna elephant). Its description in RNAcentral is "Eukaryotic large subunit ribosomal RNA". It matches the Rfam family "Eukaryotic large subunit ribosomal RNA", at positions 959 to 1246 of the family's 3401-position model. The record is from Rfam by way of RNAcentral. Lineage: Eukaryota; Metazoa; Chordata; Mammalia; Proboscidea; Elephantidae.
CUCUAAAGCUGACCUCAGGAUAGCUGGCAGUCCUGCACGGCCAAACCCGUGCAGCUUUAUGAGGUAAAGAGAAUGAUUAGAGGUCUUGGGGCUGAAACAAUCUCAACCUAUUCUCAAACUUUAAAUUGGUAAGAAGCCCAGCUCUCUGACCUGCAGCUGGGCAUGGAAUGAGAGUGCCUAGUGGGCCACUUUUGGUAAGAAGAACUGGUGCUGUGGGAUGAACCAAACACCAGGUUAAUGUGCCCAAUGCCAACAUUCAUCAGAACCCCCACACUGGAUCUCUGACAAAUGGAGUAAGAG